This 232-nucleotide ribosomal RNA is filed under the name uncultured bacterium. RNAcentral describes it as "partial 16S ribosomal RNA". It matches the Rfam family "Bacterial small subunit ribosomal RNA", at positions 99 to 334 of the family's 1533-position model. The record is from RNAcentral.
CGGACGGGUGAGUAAUGUCUGGGAAACUGCCCGAUGGAGGGGGAUAACUACUGGAAACGGUAGCUAAUACCGCAUAACGUCGCAAGACCAAAGAGGGGGACCUUGGGGCCUCUUGCCAUCGGAUGUGCCCAGAUGGGAUUAGCUAGUAGGUGGGGUAACGGCUCACCUAGGCGACGAUCCCUAGCUGGUCUGAGAGGAUGACCAGCCACACUGGAACUGAGACACGGUCCAG